RNAcentral lists this transfer RNA (73 nucleotides) under bacterium. Its description in RNAcentral is "tRNA-Phe". It matches the Rfam family "tRNA". Rfam says of the family: Transfer RNA (tRNA) molecules are approximately 80 nucleotides in length. Their secondary structure includes four short double-helical elements and three loops (D, anti-codon, and T loops). Further hydrogen bonds mediate the characteristic L-shaped molecular structure. tRNAs have two regions of fundamental functional importance: the anti-codon, which is responsible for specific mRNA codon recognition, and the 3' end, to which the tRNAs corresponding amino acid is attached (by aminoacyl-tRNA synthetases). tRNAs cope with the degeneracy of the genetic code in two manners: having more than one tRNA (with a specific anti-codon) for a particular amino acid; and 'wobble' base-pairing, i.e. permitting non-standard base-pairing at the 3rd anti-codon position. The record is from RNAcentral.
GCCGAGGUGGCAGAGUUGGUCAACGCACCGGUCUGAAAAACCGGCAAUACAGGUUCGAUCCCUGUCCUCGGCA